Small nuclear RNA from Camelus dromedarius (Arabian camel), 102 nucleotides. The record is from Ensembl. NCBI's taxonomy places the organism in Eukaryota, Metazoa, Chordata, Mammalia, Artiodactyla, Camelidae.
AUGCUUUGGCAGCACAUACAGUAAAAUUGAAAUGACCCAGAGAGGAUUAGCUGGGCCCUUGUAAAGGAUGAUACACAAAUUCAUGAAGUAUUCUAUGUGUAU